GACGAACGCUGGCGGCGUGCCUAAUACAUGCAAGUAGAACGCACAGUUUAUACCGUAGCUUGCUACACCAUAGACUGUGAGUUGCGAACGGGUGAGUAACGCGUAGGUAACCUGCCUGGUAGCGGGGGAUAACUAUUGGAAACGAUAGCUAAUACCGCAUAAUAUUAAUUAUUGCAUGAUAAUUAAUUGAAAGGUGCAAUUGCACCACUACCAGAUGGACCUGCGUUGUAUUAGCUAGUAGGUGAGGUAACGGCUCACCUAGGCGACGAUACAUAGCCGACCUGCGAGGGUGAUCGGCCACACUGGGACUGAGACACGGCCCAGACGCCUACGGGAGGCAGCAGGAGGGAAUCUUCGGCAAGGGACGAAAGUCUGACCGAGCAACGCCGCGGGAGUGAAGAAGGUUGUCGGAUCGUAAAGCUCUGUUGUAAGAGAAGAACGGGUGUGAGAGUGGAAAGUUCACACUGUGACGGUAUCUUACCAGAAAGGGACGGCUAACUACGUG
This 505-nucleotide ribosomal RNA is filed under the name uncultured bacterium. RNAcentral's name for it is "partial 16S ribosomal RNA". It matches the Rfam family "Bacterial small subunit ribosomal RNA", at positions 28 to 507 of the family's 1533-position model. The record is from RNAcentral.